RNAcentral lists this long non-coding RNA (981 nucleotides) under Sparus aurata (gilthead seabream). Its description in RNAcentral is "lncRNA (ENSSAUG00010002827.1)". Lineage: Eukaryota; Metazoa; Chordata; Actinopteri; Spariformes; Sparidae. The record is from RNAcentral.
GGAAAAUGAAAAACAAUGUUGAUCUAAAAGAGUAUUUAUUGAGUCUACUUUUCUACAACAGGGACGACAACAACGACAAUGAGCACAACCACACUGAUGACGACAACAACAACAAUGAACACAACCACACCGAUGACGACAACAACAACAAUGAACACAACAACACCGAUGACAACAACCACACCAAUGACAACAACAACAACAAUGAACACAACCACACCGAUGACGACAACAACAACAAUGAACACAACCACACCGAUGACGACAACAACAACAAUGAACACAACCACACCGAUGACGACAACAACAACAAUGAACACAACCACACCGAUGACGACAACAACAACAAUGAACACAACCACACCAAUGACGACAACAACAACAAUGAACACAACACCGGUGACAACAACUACACUGAUGACGACAACUACAACAACAACAACAACGCCAAUUACAGAACCGCCCAUAUUAGAAGAGAGGAACCUUUCGUUUAGCAUGGACAUAGAUUUCCAAGAGUCAUACAAUAACCCAGAGAGUAGUGUUUACAAAGACACUAUUGAUGCUGUAAGUCUGGAUGUCUCACUUUGUUUUCACACUGUUAUGUCACACAGCACACACACAGUCGAUGCAAUGAGUUUGCCAUAUUUGGUCUUGUUUCCUCAAACAGAUUCAGAAUCAAUCGAAGGUGCACAUCUCGGUUCCAACCACGGCAAGUUUAAUCGGGUUCAGGUGAGUCAGAAUUUUCUUUUGAUUGUACUCACAUUUGUUAUUUUGAUAUUUAAACUUAGUAUCUGCACAAUAGAGUGAUAGCAAAUAUGUGUUUGUCUCAUAUUUUGAGGGUGUGGUCGCUACAUUGAAAAUCAGAAUUAGUUGCAUUAUUUUGCUGCUUGUGUCGCUGGGAGAUGACGGUGUUGGUCCGUCAGUAAGUCAACAACAACAGUUUAGCAAAGACAUUCAGAGUUCCCAGGCAAUGAAUCCUGU